UUGAGAACCCCUGUUCUAUAACCUUCAGAAACUGCUGUUGUUAUCUUCCCUAAGUAUUUACUGCUUUCUAAGGAAUAUUUCUCUCUGUCUCUUUUGAUGUGGCUUUCUGGUUGUCCAUUGCUAUAAUUACAUCGUGGAAUCAGGGCAAAACAAAGGCAGAGCCGAAGACAUUUUUCCUCAGUGGCCUUUGCACACAGAGCAAGAUGGCUGCACUUGUCAACCAGUCAGUUGAUAUAUUCAGCUUGAGCCCCGCUGCGCCCAGGAUGUGCCGCCAUAUUUAAUGUUUGUGUUCCUGUCAUCUGUCCCGUUUUCCCAGUCCGUGUGCUUAAUUUUAAGGCACUUGCCCAGUUUCCUUCCAGCUAUAAUCUCAACAGGGAAAUGACUGUUUGCUUUUUCUUUUCAUACUGCAAGUAAACAUAUUAAACUUAGUCAGCUGCUCUCUUUCUCCAGCUGGCUCAGAAAAUCGUCUUCCUGACCAGAUUUGGCUUCUUUUUGGACAUCUCACCCCAAAGUAAAUUCUUUUUAUUUAUUUAUAUAUAUUUCUACUAGACAGUAAUAUGCCCCCCCCCCAAUUUAUUAUUAAGAAUAAACCCCAUUUGGCUGAAAACGCUGGCAGGGAUUUGCAAGAGUCCUGUCUGAAAGCUCCCCUUUGCUCUUCCUCAUCGUGGCUCUAAACUUUGUUUGAUGAAAGUCCCCAUUUUCACGGCUGCCGUUGGUGAAGUGACUUCUGAGUUAUGCCCUGUGAGAUGGUUGAUACCUGCUAGCACAGUGUUUCUCAACCUUGACAAUUUUAAGGCAUGUGGACUUCAACUCCCAGAAUUCCACAGCCAGCAAUGCUGGCUGUGGAAUUCUGGGAGUUGAAGUCCACAUGCCUUAAAAUUGUCAAGGUUGAGAAACACUGUCAGAAUAUGGCAAAGGCAACAGCUAGGGAAAUUUCACACCUGUGUUAUCUCACACACAUUACCCAGAAGUAAUAUCACCAAGUUUUAUAUUCUUCGAAUUUCAACUUGGAAGAAUUCGAUUCGGAAGCUAUUGAUGUUGCAGGUCCAGACAGAUGAAUCCGUUUUUCAAAGCAGGCAGAUGUCGUGAGCUCAGGUACGUAGCCAUGAGGGCAAGGGGCUGCUUUUAUCUUGUUCAUUUUUUGAAUCCUUAAUCUUCAAAUGAAAGCCCUUGUAGCUGUUUAUUUAUAUUUUGCAAGUGAACAGCAUAUAGGCUGCUUGCCUCACCCAUAUCCUAAUUUGUCCCACUUGAUUGUAAAACUGUGUUGUUUCCUCCACAAACAAAUUGAAGAUGGAGGAAGACCAAGUGAGCUAUUGCAACCUCAUUCCCAUUCCCCUUUUUUCUCCAGGGCCAGAGGAAGCUAACGGUUACUGAUUACCUUCCUGAACAAUUGUACUUGCUACGGUUAUCUUGUCCAAUUCAGAAAGCUCAAAAUUCCUAAAGGAAGAGAUGGUUUGUUUCUGCUAUGGGUGGAUAGGGUUAACAUGACUGAAAUUCUGCAUUUCUGGGUCUUGGAGUGUAAAAAGGGCAAUUUACUUUAUCAUAAGAAUGUUUGGCUCCAGUCAUUCACUAAUAAGAGCAGCUUUAUCCCUGGUUUUUUAUACAGAGAGAACAUGGCCCUAGUUUUCCCUUAGAAUUUGAAUAUGUUGAGUGUGACAAGACAUUUUAGUAUUUUCUUUCUUAAAGGAAACUGCAGGCAAGUCAGCAUUUGAAUCUGUAUUUGUUGCUUCUGCCUUUUAAACUUUUUCAGAUAUGAGUUGGCAGGCUUUGUGUGUCAAGAGGUCUUUUUUUUUUUAAUGUGACUUUGUUUUGUGGAAACCUUGCACGAGGAAGGCCCUUGGAGUCCUUGCAGCAAGUGGAAAAGGUCACCCUUUACACUUCACUUCCUGCUCUGAGAUACCCUUAACACUAUGAGCAUGUGCCAGGGUUCGGUCUUUCAUUCCUCUAUACCAGGGGUUGCCUACCCCUCCUCUAUACUCUGAAAAUUAAAAAAAAACAAAAACAGGUGAUCUGUCAAGAUCCUUGCAGAGUUGCCUUCCACAAAGCACAUCUCGACAUCAGAACAGAAGCUGUUCUCUUCUUCUUCCUCCUCCUCCUCUUCCACAGAUUUUGCUUUUACAGCUCUCUGGUUGUGUUUGUGAGGGGCAUCUACCCCUUUUAGGAUCUAUAAAAAUAUUAAGACUGCUGUGAGCUGCCCAGUUUGAUUCAGAGGGUUGGGGUCAACGUGGCAACUUCAUUUAGGGACUGUGGUCCUUGAGGCUCUUCUGCCUAAGCUGGAGAUCUCUUGCAAGUGAAUGGCAGUUUAAGCUUUGCCUGCCAGAUGCCAAAAGGUGCUGAAGGUUCCCACCACUGCCUGUUGUGAGAAGGGUCAGUGUUCUGGGUUCAUUUAUGCUGAUGCAUGCUUUAGUUAUGUGGUUGGGCACAGUGGUAUCCGGCUGCCUUUUUUUUUUUUUUUUUUUGAACUACAUUUACAUCUUGCUUGCACAAAUAUAAUGCCCUCUCCCUUAGCCAGUAGGGGGAAUAAAUGGCUGCUUCAUAAUUCCUGAGGUCCCAUCAGAUACACAGUGUUGAGAAAUGCUCCUAUUUCACUGCAGCCCUUUAGAAGAGGAAGCCCAUGAAUCAGAUAUCAUCGAUUAAAUACCUUGAAGAGCUUGAAAAGGCCAUUUGAGCACCCUUGGGAAAGGUCUUUGGCUGGACAGUUGGGCGGGGGCUCAUCAAUGAAUUCCAAAGGUAAAAGCUCUGCUUGGAAUGAAUUGGGUGAAAAUUCCGUUGGAUGGUAGCCAAGACCCGCGAACGACGUGUCCCGUAUAAGUUGGAAAGAUCAGGUGUUGGAAUUUGCCCAAAAGAAAGCCUAAGUAAACUGAUACGGUUGGGCUGUUGAGUUGGGGCUGUUGCUGUGCAGAACUGUGUUUAUCCUAAACACCUUCAGGUCGCUAGAACAGACUAGGCGUAGGCAACCUCGGCUCUUUCAUGACUCAAAGUGGACUUCAACUCCCAGAAUUCCUGAGCCACGAGUCAUAAAAGAGCCGAGGUUGCCUACCCCUGCCACCACUAGACUGUAGCUUGCUUUUGAAAAGCCCCAAAGACAACACAACGGUAAAAAUCUCUGCUGGGCCUUGGAAUGCCGUCUUCCUUCAGGAGCUUAGCUGGUGGCACCCCACGCCUGCUAGCCCCUAAUGCCUCUUUCUUCCAAGCAGAAGAGCCCAGGAAGGUAGGAGGGAAGUGUUCCUUUGGGCUGCCCCCCUCCCCCCCGCCAAAGCUGUGCUCGAUGGGGAUCUGAGAAUGGUGCUUAGCUUCCAAGUUGUUAUUUGAC
Crotalus tigris (Tiger rattlesnake) is the source of this 3313-nucleotide long non-coding RNA. RefSeq lists it as uncharacterized. The transcript has 2 exons. Lineage: Eukaryota; Metazoa; Chordata; Lepidosauria; Squamata; Viperidae. The record is from RefSeq and is a predicted model, not a curated record.